Long non-coding RNA from Gasterosteus aculeatus aculeatus (three-spined stickleback), 1481 nucleotides. The record is from Ensembl. Lineage: Eukaryota; Metazoa; Chordata; Actinopteri; Perciformes; Gasterosteidae.
UUUUAAGCACCCCUAAUUUUGAGGACACGUUCAUCGUCCAUACAGAUGCCUCUGGAUCAGGGCUUGGAGCCGUGCUGUCCCAGGUCAGAGGAGGAGAAGAACACCCAGUGACCUAUAUCAGCCGACAAGGAAGCGGGCGCCACGUAGGAGGAGACGCCACAUAUUUCAGUUUGGAAGCCGGUUGGAAGAGCCGUAGUUUUUGACCUUUGUUAUUAAAAGGACCCUUUUUGUUUGCAUUUUCUGUCUGAGUUUCUUAUUUUACGCCCGAAUCUGGCCUCACUCCCCCUGGGUUACCACAACAUAUAUGAACAUGGUUGUUGCAUACUUACUUGUCACGGUGUGGUUCACUUCCUGUUAUAUUUUGUAAUUUUCUGCCACUUGUGUCCCCGGGUAACUUCACUUCCUGCCUUGUCAUGUCAUCCCCUGUGAUCGUCUAAUAGUUUCCACCUGUGUCCAAUCACCUGCACCUCCCUAGUGUAUUUAAACCAUGUGUGUCUGUUGUCACUUGUCGCGUCAUUGUCUUUCGCCACGCAUGUUCUUGUCUCCUGUUGUGGAUGUCCGUAGGUUCAUGCCUGUGUUUUUUUUGCCCCUUGGCCUUUUGGAUUUCGGAUCUAGUAACUAUUAAAGUCUUGUUUCGGAGAAGUCUGCAUCUGAGUCCUGCCUUCCACUCGCUCCCCUGAUACUUACUUAACUAUAUGUGUAUCAAACACCAUUGUAUUAAUUUGUUCUUGAUUUUUAUUUGAUAAUUUAGCCACUGCAAGAUGUAUCUUCCAUGAUGAAACAGAUGUUGGUAUAAUUAGUUUAUCUUUACCUAUGCGCUGUUUGACUAUAAAGAACACGUAAUAUACCUUUAUACAACCAAUGUCAUGAUUGUGUCACAGGAGGAAAAAAUGCAUGCAAACACAAAUCACCUGAGAAUAGCGAGCGAGAGUCACACAUUGAACAUGUUUUCUUGCUGUGUUUUUGCGUGAAAGAAUUGAUAUUGCAUACUUUUGAGGUGACAGCACAGCUUACCUUAUAUGUUAUUAUUAUGUUUAAACCAAUGAUAGUCUUUCUCGGGUAAAAGUGAGAAGGUGAACACAUCUUUAUUUAAAAAGGUAAUAAAAUAUGUGAUGAAAUAGGACAAAAUAUAUCUGUAAUAGAAUGAUACAAUCUAAAGGAUACUGCAACAUCCUGAAACUCAUUAUAUUUGUUUUUUGAAAGAACAAAGUACGUUCUAUAAUGCACGCUGUUUGCGAGUUCGUGCCCUGUUUCCGGAGAGAUCGGUCGUCGUUUGGAGACUUCCCUGUGGAUACCUGAGAGAGACUUUUCCCUUUGGAUUAUUUAAGAGUGAGUUUUCCUUUUUUUCGUUGAACUAUGAGUUCCCAUGGACUAAGGGAUUUUGAGUUGUUUUUCUUUUGUUUUCACCUGCCAAUUAAGGAGGCAGUUUUUGUUUGUUCCUCGGAAACCUUACGCUCUUGAGUUCUUGUGAAUGAAUAAAC